UGGGGAAUAUUGCACAAUGGGGGAAACCCUGAUGCAGCGACGCCGCGUGAGCGAAGAAGGCUUUCGAGUCGUAAAGCUCUGUCCUAUGAGAAGAUAAUGACGGUAUCAUAGGAGGAAGCCCUGGCUAAAUACGUGCCAGCAGCCGCGGUAAUACGUAUGGGGCGAGCGUUGUCCGGAAUUAUUGGGCGUAAAGGGUACGUAGGCGGUUUUUUAAGUCAGGUGUCAAAGCGUGGAGCUUAACUCCAUUAAGCACUUGAAACUGAAAGACUUGAGUGAAGGAGAGGAAAGUGGAAUUCCUAGUGUAGCGGUGACAUGCGUAGAUAUUAGGAGGAAUACCGGUGGCGAAUGCGACUUGCUGGAUUUUUACUGACGCUCAGGUACGAAAGCGUGGGGAGCAAACAGG
This 403-nucleotide ribosomal RNA is filed under the name Verrucomicrobiota bacterium. Its description in RNAcentral is "Verrucomicrobia bacterium partial 16S ribosomal RNA". It matches the Rfam family "Bacterial small subunit ribosomal RNA", at positions 355 to 776 of the family's 1533-position model. Lineage: Bacteria; Pseudomonadati; Verrucomicrobiota. The record is from RNAcentral.